RNAcentral lists this long non-coding RNA (459 nucleotides) under Malus domestica (apple). RNAcentral's name for it is "long non-coding RNA (MDOM_LNC017964)". Lineage: Eukaryota; Viridiplantae; Streptophyta; Magnoliopsida; Rosales; Rosaceae. The record is from RNAcentral.
AAAUAUAAGGAACUAACUAAGAAAAGACGAGUGAAUUCGAAGUAAAAAUAUAUAUAAAUAUGAUCCGAUCAGCAUCUAAUUCAACCAAUUUCGUGCAAAUCUGUUUAGUUUUAAUCUUGCUUUGUUUUACUUUAUUUUCGUCCAAAAUCAAAUUCCCUUUACUUUAGAGUGUCUAAUUAGUUAGAAUCUGUUUAGUUUGUGUUUUUAAGUGUUUUGAAUCAACAUAAAACCAAAAUUCGUCCAAAAGAGUGUUUAGAGUCCAAAUCUGCCCAGUUUGUGUAUUUAGGCAUAUUUGAGCGUUUUUAGCUUGUUUUGAGUCUUUUGAAUUUGUUUUGAGUUCUUUGAGUCUAGUUAAGUGUUUUUAAGUUUAUUUUUAUAUAUUUGAGUCAGUUUAGAGUGUUUUAGCAAUCCCUCCUAAUCCCCGGUUUAAGAAUGAUCCCUACUUAUCCGUACUACAAU